RNAcentral lists this transfer RNA (74 nucleotides) under Candidatus Nitrosopelagicus brevis. RNAcentral describes it as "tRNA-Tyr". It matches the Rfam family "tRNA". Rfam says of the family: Transfer RNA (tRNA) molecules are approximately 80 nucleotides in length. Lineage: Archaea; Thermoproteati; Nitrososphaerota. The record is from RNAcentral.
CCCCACUUAGCUCAGCCUGGUAGAGCUUCCGACUGUAGAUCGGGUUGUCGAAGGCUCAAAUCCUUCAGUGGGGA